This 446-nucleotide ribosomal RNA is filed under the name uncultured bacterium. RNAcentral's name for it is "bacterial SSU rRNA". It matches the Rfam family "Bacterial small subunit ribosomal RNA", at positions 331 to 793 of the family's 1533-position model. The record is from RNAcentral.
CCAGACUCCUACGGGAGGCAGCAGUGGGGGAUAUUGCACAAUGGGGGAAACCCUGAUGCAGCGACGCCGCGUGGGUGAAGAAGUAUUUCGGUAUGUAAAGCCCUAUCAGCAGGGAAGAAAGAAGACGGUACCUGACUAAGAAGCCCCGGCUAACUACGUGCCAGCAGCCGCGGUAAUACGUAGGGGGCGAGCGUUAUCCGGAUUCACUGGGUGUAAAGGGAGCGUAGACGGCCAUGCAAGCCAGGGGUGAAAGCCCGGGGCCCAACCCCGGGACUGCCCUUGGAACUGUGCGGCUAGAGUGCGGGAGGGGCAGGCGGAAUUCCUGGUGUAGCGGUGAAAUGCGUAGAUAUCAGGAGGAACACCGGCGGCGAAGGCGGCCUGCUGGACUGAAACUGACGUUGAGGCUCGAAAGCGUGGGGAGCAAACAGGAUUAGAUACCCCCGUAU